RNAcentral lists this non-coding RNA (26 nucleotides) under Mus musculus (house mouse). The record is from RNAcentral. Lineage: Eukaryota; Metazoa; Chordata; Mammalia; Rodentia; Muridae.
UGAUGCUGAGUGGCCUCUCUUCCGGU